GAAUAUUGGACAAUGGGCGAAAGCCUGAUCCAGCCAUGCCGCGUGUGAGAAGAAGGUCUUCGGAUUGUAAAGCACUUUAAGUUGGGAGGAAGGGCAGUAAGCGAAUACCUUGCUGUUUAGACGUUACCGACCGAAUAAGCAACGGUCAACUUUGGUGCAGCAGCCGCGGUAAUACAAAGGGUGCAAGCGUUAAUCGGAAUUACUGGGCGUAAAGCGCGCGUAGGUGGUUCGUUAAGUUGGAUGUGAAAUCCCCGGGCUCAACCUGGGAACUGCAUCCAAAACCGGCGAGCUAGAGUAGGGCAGAGGGUGGUGGAAUUUCCUGUGUAGCGGUGAAAUGCGUAGAUAUAGGAAGGAACACCAGUGGCGAAGGCGACCACCUGGGCUCAUACUGACACUGAGGUGCGAAAGCGUGGGGAGCAAACAGG
Molecule: ribosomal RNA, 425 nt
Filed under: uncultured bacterium
Lineage: Bacteria
Description: partial 16S ribosomal RNA
Rfam family: Bacterial small subunit ribosomal RNA
Source: RNAcentral